GCCGGGCGUGGUGGCUCACGCCUGUAAUCCCAGCACUUUGGGAGGCCAAGGUGGGAGGAUGGCUUGAGCCCAGGAGUUCAAGACCAGCAUGGGCAACAUAGUGAGACCCUGUCUCAAAAUAAAUAAAUAAAUAAAUAAAUUUUUUAAAAAAGAAAAGUAGUUUCUUCUUUUCUUGUUGUUAAGAGAUAGGGUCUCGCUAUGUUGCCCAGGCUGGCCUUGAACUCCUGGGCUCAAGUGAUCCUCCCACCUC
This 250-nucleotide signal recognition particle RNA is filed under the name Papio anubis (olive baboon). RNAcentral's name for it is "Metazoan signal recognition particle RNA (ENSPANG00000037153.1)". It matches the Rfam family "Metazoan signal recognition particle RNA". From Rfam's summary of the family: The signal recognition particle (SRP) is a universally conserved ribonucleoprotein. It is involved in the co-translational targeting of proteins to membranes. The eukaryotic SRP consists of a 300-nucleotide 7S RNA and six proteins: SRPs 72, 68, 54, 19, 14, and 9. The record is from Rfam by way of RNAcentral. Lineage: Eukaryota; Metazoa; Chordata; Mammalia; Primates; Cercopithecidae.